Molecule: ribosomal RNA, 1842 nt
Filed under: Serratia entomophila
Lineage: Bacteria; Pseudomonadati; Pseudomonadota; Gammaproteobacteria; Enterobacterales; Yersiniaceae
Description: 23S ribosomal RNA
Rfam family: Bacterial large subunit ribosomal RNA
Source: RNAcentral
GAAGCAGCCAUCAUUUAAAGAAAGCGUAAUAGCUCACUGGUCGAGUCGGCCUGCGCGGAAGAUGUAACGGGGCUAAACCAUGCACCGAAGCUGCGGCAGCGACGCUCAGGCGUUGUUGGGUAGGGGAGCGUUCUGUAAGCCGUUGAAGGUGGCCUGUGAGGGUUGCUGGAGGUAUCAGAAGUGCGAAUGCUGACAUAAGUAACGAUAAAGCGGGUGAAAAGCCCGCUCGCCGGAAGACCAAGGGUUCCUGUCCAACGUUAAUCGGGGCAGGGUGAGUCGACCCCUAAGGCGAGGCCGAAAGGCGUAGUCGAUGGGAAACAGGUUAAUAUUCCUGUACUCGGUGUUACUGCGAAGGGGGGACGGAGAAGGCUAGGCUAGCCGGGCGACGGUUGUCCCGGUUUAAGCGUGUAGGGGGAGUGACCCGGUAAAUCCGGUUGCUUAUCAACCCUGAGGCGUGAUGACGAUGCACCACGGUGCAGAAGUAGUUGAUGCCAAGCUUCCAGGAAAAGCCUCUAAGCAUCAGGUAACACAGAAUCGUACCCCAAACCGACACAGGUGGUCAGGUAGAGAAUACCAAGGCGCUUGAGAGAACUCGGGUGAAGGAACUAGGCAAAAUGGUGCCGUAACUUCGGGAGAAGGCACGCUGGCGCGUAGGUGAAGUCCCUUGCGGAUGGAGCUGAAGCCAGUCGCAGAUACCAGCUGGCUGCAACUGUUUAAUAAAAACACAGCACUGUGCAAACACGAAAGUGGACGUAUACGGUGUGACGCCUGCCCGGUGCUGGAAGGUUAAUUGAUGGGGUCAGCCGCAAGGCGAAGCUCUUGAUCGAAGCCCCAGUAAACGGCGGCCGUAACUAUAACGGUCCUAAGGUAGCGAAAUUCCUUGUCGGGUAAGUUCCGACCUGCACGAAUGGCGUAAUGAUGGCCAGGCUGUCUCCACCCGAGACUCAGUGAAAUUGAACUCGCUGUGAAGAUGCAGUGUACCCGCGGCAAGACGGAAAGACCCCGUGAACCUUUACUAUAGCUUGACACUGAACAUUGAGCCUUGAUGUGUAGGAUAGGUGGGAGGCUUUGAAGCGUGGACGCCAGUCUGCGUGGAGCCAACCUUGAAAUACCACCCUUUAAUGUUUGAUGUUCUAACUCGGCCCCGUAAUCCGGGGUGAGGACAGUGUCUGGUGGGUAGUUUGACUGGGGCGGUCUCCUCCCAAAGAGUAACGGAGGAGCACGAAGGUUAGCUAAUCACGGUCGGACAUCGUGAGGUUAGUGCAAAGGCAUAAGCUAGCUUGACUGCGAGAGUGACGGCUCGAGCAGGUACGAAAGUAGGUCUUAGUGAUCCGGUGGUUCUGAAUGGAAGGGCCAUCGCUCAACGGAUAAAAGGUACUCCGGGGAUAACAGGCUGAUACCGCCCAAGAGUUCAUAUCGACGGCGGUGUUUGGCACCUCGAUGUCGGCUCAUCACAUCCUGGGGCUGAAGUAGGUCCCAAGGGUAUGGCUGUUCGCCAUUUAAAGUGGUACGCGAGCUGGGUUUAGAACGUCGUGAGACAGUUCGGUCCCUAUCUGCCGUGGGCGUUGGAAGAUUGAGAGGGGUUGCUCCUAGUACGAGAGGACCGGAGUGAACGCACCACUGGUGUUCGGGUUGUCAUGCCAAUGGCACUGCCCGGUAGCUAAGUGCGGAAAAGAUAAGCGCUGAAAGCAUCUAAGCGCGAAACUUGCCUCGAGAUGAGUCUUCCCUGGGCCUUUAAGGCCCCUGAAGGAACGUUUAAGACUAAGACGUUGAUAGGCUGGGUGUGUAAGUGCAGCGAUGCAUUGAGCUAACCAGUACUAAUGAUCCGUGAGGCUUAACCUU